GAGUAACGCGUAUGCAACCUACCUAUCAGGAGGGGAAUAACCCGGCGAAAGUCGGACUAAUACCGCAUAAAACAGGGGCACCGCAUGGUGAUAUUUGUUAAAGAAAUUCGCUGAUAGAUGGGCAUGCGUUCCAUUAGGUAGUUGGUGAGGUAACGGCUCACCAAGCCGACGAUGGAUAGGGGAACUGAGAGGUUGGUCCCCCACACUGGUACUGAGACACGGACCAGACUCCUACGGGAGGCAGCAGUGAGGAAUAUUGGUCAAUGGGCGAGAGCCUGAACCAGCCAAGUCGCGUAGAAGGAAGAAGGAUCUAUGGUUACGUAAACUUCUUUUGCGAGGGGAAUAAAGUGCAGGACGUGUCCUGUUUUGUAUAUACCCUGAGAAUAAGGAUCGGCUAACUCCGUGCCAGCAGCCGC
RNAcentral lists this ribosomal RNA (416 nucleotides) under uncultured bacterium. RNAcentral describes it as "bacterial SSU rRNA". It matches the Rfam family "Bacterial small subunit ribosomal RNA", at positions 108 to 518 of the family's 1533-position model. The record is from RNAcentral.